GUUCUCUCAUUCCGCCCCUGCUCUCUCACUCCAUCUCUAGUCAGUAGCCGCUAUCACCAUCCCCACCACCGUCGCCGUCGAUGUCUGUGCUCCCCCUCUUCUCUGCUCCGCUUCCACACUAUGCGCCUAGCUCAUCUAUCAGAAAAAUAAUGGUGACUCGCAAGCUUUUUGAUGUAGUUUGAGAUAGGAAGCGUGGCUAUACUUG
This 205-nucleotide long non-coding RNA is filed under the name Elaeis guineensis (African oil palm). RNAcentral's name for it is "long non-coding RNA (EGUI_LNC064639)". The record is from RNAcentral. Lineage: Eukaryota; Viridiplantae; Streptophyta; Magnoliopsida; Arecales; Arecaceae.